CCUACGGGUGGCAGCAGUGAGGAAUAUUGGUCAAUGGACGGAAGUCUGAACCAGCCAUGCCGCGUGCAGGAAGACGGCCCUAUGAGUUGUAAACUGCUUUUGUACAAGGGUAAAACUGAAUACGUGUAUUCAGCUGAAAGUACUGUAAGAAUAAGGAUAGGCUAACGCCGUGCCAGCAGCCGCGGUAAUACGGAGGAUCCAAGCGUUAUCCGGAUUUAUUGGGUUUAAAGGGAGCGUAGGCGGAAUGAUAAGUUAGAGGUGAAAUGUCCGGGCUUAACACGGGAACUGCCUUUUAUACUGUUGAUCUAGAGAGAUGGUGCGGCAGGCGGAAUGUAUGGUGUAGCGGUGAAAUGCUUAGAUAUCA
This 364-nucleotide ribosomal RNA is filed under the name uncultured bacterium. Its description in RNAcentral is "partial 16S ribosomal RNA". It matches the Rfam family "Bacterial small subunit ribosomal RNA", at positions 338 to 699 of the family's 1533-position model. The record is from RNAcentral.